GCUUACGGCCAUACCAGCCUGAAUACGCCCGAUCUCGUCUGAUCUCGGAAGCUAAGCAGGGUCGGGCCUGGUUAGUACUUGGAUGGGAGACCGCCUGGGAAUAACAGGUGCUGUAAGCU
Molecule: ribosomal RNA, 119 nt
Organism: Amphiprion ocellaris (clown anemonefish)
Lineage: Eukaryota; Metazoa; Chordata; Actinopteri; Pomacentridae
Source: Ensembl